CGUGUAGGCGGUCGGCCAAGUCCGAUGUGAAAGCCCGGGGCUCAGCUCCGGAAGGGCAUCGGAAACUAGCCGGCUAGAGCGCGAUAGAGGAGGGCGGAAUUCCUGGUGUAGCGGUGAAAUGCGUAGAUAUCAGGAGGAACACCGGCGGCGAAGGCGGCCCUCUGGAUCGUUGCUGACGCUGAGACGCGAAAGCGUGGGGAGCAAACAGGAUUAGAUACCCUGGUAGUCCACGCUGUAAACGAUGGGUACUAGGUGUUCGGGGUAUUGACCCCCUGAGUGCCGCAGCUAACGCAUUAAGUACCCCGCCUGGGGACUACGGCCGCAAGGUUAAA
RNAcentral lists this ribosomal RNA (332 nucleotides) under uncultured bacterium. Its description in RNAcentral is "bacterial SSU rRNA". It matches the Rfam family "Bacterial small subunit ribosomal RNA", at positions 568 to 898 of the family's 1533-position model. The record is from RNAcentral.